This 428-nucleotide ribosomal RNA is filed under the name uncultured bacterium. Its description in RNAcentral is "bacterial SSU rRNA". It matches the Rfam family "Bacterial small subunit ribosomal RNA", at positions 354 to 796 of the family's 1533-position model. The record is from RNAcentral.
GUAGGGAAUAUUGGGCAAUGGAGGAAACUCUGACCCAGCAACGCCGCGUGAAGGAUGAAGGUCUUCGGAUUGUAAACUUCUGUUAUAGGGGAAAAAGAAAGUGAUGGUACCCUAUGAGAAAGCUACGGCAAACUAUGUGCCAGCAGCCGCGGUAAUACAUAGGUAGCAAGCGUUAUCCGGAAUAACUGGGCGUAAAGGGUGCGUAGGUGGCUUGGUAAGUCACAUGUGAAAGCCCUCGGCUUAACCGAGGAACUGCAUGUGAUACUGCUAAGCUAGAGUGCGAGAGAGGUAAGUGGAAUUCCAAGUGUAGCGGUAGAAUGCGUAGAGAUUUGGAGGAACACCAGAGGCGAAGGCGGCUUACUGGCUCGUAACUGACACUGAGGCACGAAAGCGUGGGGAGCAAACAGGAUUAGAUACCCUAGUAGUCC